This 465-nucleotide ribosomal RNA is filed under the name uncultured bacterium. Its description in RNAcentral is "partial 16S ribosomal RNA". It matches the Rfam family "Bacterial small subunit ribosomal RNA", at positions 28 to 507 of the family's 1533-position model. The record is from RNAcentral.
GACGAACGCUGGCGGCGUGCUUAACACAUGCAAGUCGUACGGUAAGGCCCUUUCGGGGGUACACGAGUGGCGAACGGGCGAGUAACACGUGAGUAACCUGCCCACAACUUUGGGAUAACGCUAGGAAACUGGUGCUAAUACUGGAUAUGUGCUCCUGCUGCAUGGUGGGGGUUGGAAAGCUCCGGCGGUUGUGGAUGGACUCGCGGCCUAUCAGCUUGUUGGUGGGGUAGUGGCCUACCAAGGCGGCGACGGGUAGCCGGCCUGAGAGGGUGACCGGCCACAUUGGGACUGAGAUACGGCCCAGACUCCUACGGGAGGCAGCAGUGGGGAAUAUUGCACAAUGGGCGCAAGCCUGAUGCAGCAACGCCGCGUGCGGGAUGACGGCCUUCGGGUUGGAAACCGCUUUCAGCAGGGACGAAGCUUUUUGUGACGGUACCUGCAGAAGAAGCACCGGCUAACUACGUG